RNAcentral lists this long non-coding RNA (374 nucleotides) under Monodelphis domestica (gray short-tailed opossum). RNAcentral describes it as "lncRNA (ENSMODG00000039351.1)". Lineage: Eukaryota; Metazoa; Chordata; Mammalia; Didelphimorphia; Didelphidae. The record is from RNAcentral.
CAGGUCCUCUUCAGAGAGUCUUGGACCACAGGACUCACACCACAGAAAACAGGAUCCUGGGCUUGGAACCAGAGAAGACCUUCUCAAGCACUUACCAGUUUUUUGGGCCUGGCCUAAGUUCUUUGUUGUUCAGAGAGGAGAAAAUCGGUUAAAGACUUAGUGGUUGGGACACCUUGAAGAAGACCUUUCUAAAAUGGCUCAAGUAUUUGGUCAUAACAAGGAAAGAAAAAAAAACCCCAAGUAUCUUGUUUAGUGCCAGCAUGGAGGCCUGAAAGGAGUGAAAAUGGAAUACUGGAAUGGAAACCUACUCACCUGAGGAAUUCAGACUUGUCUCCAGCUGUCUUAGUCACUCACCUAUUUGGCAACAGCUGGUU